GAUGAACGCUGGCGGCGUGCUUAACACAUGCAAGUCGAACGGAAAGGCUCCUGCUUGCAGGGGUACUCGAGUGGCGAACGGGUGAGUAACACGUGGGUGAUCUGCCCUGCACUUCGGGAUAAGCCUGGGAAACUGGGUCUAAUACCGGAUAGGACCACAUUUUGGAUGGUGUGGUGGAAAGUUUUUCGGUGUGGGAUGAGCUCGCGGCCUAUCAGCUUGUUGGUGGGGUAAUGGCCUACCAAGGCGUCGACGGGUAGCCGGCCUGAGAGGGUGUACGGCCACAUUGGGACUGAGAUGCGGCCCAGACUCCGACGGGAGGCAGCAGUGGGGAAUAUUGCACAAUGGGCGCAAGCCUGAUGCAGCGACGCCGCGUGGGGGAUGACGGCCUUCGGGUUGUAAACUCCUUUCGCUAGGGACGAAGCGUUUUUGUGACGGUACCUGGAGAAGAAGCACCGGCUAACUACGUG
RNAcentral lists this ribosomal RNA (467 nucleotides) under uncultured bacterium. RNAcentral's name for it is "partial 16S ribosomal RNA". It matches the Rfam family "Bacterial small subunit ribosomal RNA", at positions 28 to 507 of the family's 1533-position model. The record is from RNAcentral.